This 363-nucleotide ribosomal RNA is filed under the name uncultured eukaryote. Its description in RNAcentral is "SSU rRNA". It matches the Rfam family "Eukaryotic small subunit ribosomal RNA", at positions 567 to 940 of the family's 1831-position model. The record is from RNAcentral.
CCAGCAGCCGCGGUAAUUCCAGCUCCAAUAGCGUAUAUUUAAGUUGUUGCAGUUAAAAAGCUCGUAGUUGGAUUUCGGGUGGGCUACGCCGGUCUCCUAACGGUUGUACUGGCGACGCCCGCCUUGCUGCCGGGGACGGGCUCCUGCCUUAAUUGUCGGGACCCGGAAUCGGCGACGUUACUUUGAGUAAAUUAGAGUGUUCAAAGCAAGCCUACGCUCUGAAUAUAAUAGCAUGGGAUAACACGACAGGACUCUGGCCUAUCGUGUUGGUCUGUAGGACCAGAGUAAUGAUUAAGAGGGACAGUCGGGGGCAUCCGUAUUCCGUUGUCAGAGGUGAAAUUCUUGGAUUUACGGAAGACGAAC